GCGGGUGUCGUAUAGUGGCUAUUAUCCAACUUUUCCAAAGUUGUGACGUGGGUUCGAUUCCCAUCACCCGCUCCC
RNAcentral lists this transfer RNA (75 nucleotides) under Candidatus Nealsonbacteria bacterium CG23_combo_of_CG06-09_8_20_14_all_36_125. Its description in RNAcentral is "tRNA-Gly". It matches the Rfam family "tRNA". From Rfam's summary of the family: Transfer RNA (tRNA) molecules are approximately 80 nucleotides in length. Lineage: Bacteria; Candidatus Nealsoniibacteriota. The record is from RNAcentral.